UACGAAGGGGGCUAGCGUUGUUCGGAUUUACUGGGCGUAAAGCGCACGUAGGCGGCUUGUUAAGUCAGGGGUGAAAUCCUGGAGCUCAACUCCAGAACUGCCUUUGAUACUGAGGAUCUUGAGUUCGGGAGAGGUGAGUGGAACUGCGAGUGUAGAGGUGAAAUUCGUAGAUAUUCGCAAGAACACCAGUGGCGAAGGCGGCUCACUGGCCCGAUACUGACGCUGAGGCACGAAAGCGUGGGGAGCAAACAGG
This 253-nucleotide ribosomal RNA is filed under the name uncultured bacterium. RNAcentral's name for it is "partial 16S ribosomal RNA". It matches the Rfam family "Bacterial small subunit ribosomal RNA", at positions 524 to 776 of the family's 1533-position model. The record is from RNAcentral.